CACCGGAGCUUGCUCCACCGGAAAAAGAGGAGUGGCGAACGGGUGAGUAACACGUGGGUAACCUGCCCAUCAGAAGGGGAUAACACUUGGAAACAGGUGCUAAUACCGUAUAACAAUCGAAACCGCAUGGUUUUGAUUUGAAAGGCGCUUUCGGGUGUCGCUGAUGGAUGGACCCGCGGUGCAUUAGCUAGUUGGUGAGGUAACGGCUCACCAAGGCCACGAUGCAUAGCCGACCUGAGAGGGUGAUCGGCCACAUUGGGACUGAGACACGGCCCAAACUCCUACGGGAGGCAGCAGUAGGGAAUCUUCGGCAAUGGACGAAAGUCUGACCGAGCAACGCCGCGUGAGUGAAGAAGGUUUUCGGAUCGUAAAACUCUGUUGUUAGAGAAGAACAAGGAUGAGAGUAACUGUUCAUCCCUUGACGGUAUCUAACCAGAAAGCCACGGCUAACUACGUGCCAGCAGCCGCGGUAAUACGUAGGUGGCAAGCGUUGUCCGGAUUUAUUGGGCGUAAAGCGAGCGCAGGCGGUUUCUUAAGUCUGAUGUGAAAGCCCCCGGCUCA
This 561-nucleotide ribosomal RNA is filed under the name Enterococcus faecium. Its description in RNAcentral is "bacterial SSU rRNA". It matches the Rfam family "Bacterial small subunit ribosomal RNA", at positions 70 to 611 of the family's 1533-position model. The record is from RNAcentral. Lineage: Bacteria; Bacillati; Bacillota; Bacilli; Lactobacillales; Enterococcaceae.